This 306-nucleotide long non-coding RNA is filed under the name Vigna radiata. RNAcentral's name for it is "long non-coding RNA (VRAD_LNC007619)". Lineage: Eukaryota; Viridiplantae; Streptophyta; Magnoliopsida; Fabales; Fabaceae. The record is from RNAcentral.
GUAGGAAUUUGAGAGUUCUGAUAAUUUAAAAACGUUUCUGGUGAAUAAAACAGCAGAUUAAUGAGAUUAAUGUUGAUAAAAAUCAGGGAUUAGAAUGUAAAAGAUCAUGACCAUCAAAAUACAAAGAGGUGGGAAUUAGUGAUCGGUGAACAAAAAUAAUAAUAAUUAAUGGAUUUGAAUGUUGUGUUUAUGAUAUUCCAAGUAGCAUUAAAGAAAAGGAAAAAAUCAAGUGCGGCGCAUAGAAGGUUUAAAGGGCCCAAUUGUGACGUGGCACUGUGAGAACCACAGACAAAGAGUAAACAAAGA